Molecule: long non-coding RNA, 296 nt
Organism: Nothoprocta perdicaria
Lineage: Eukaryota; Metazoa; Chordata; Aves; Tinamiformes; Tinamidae
Exons: 2
Source: RefSeq, a predicted model, not a curated record
UUUGUGACUUGUUUCUGUGCCUAUGUGGUCUCGAUUGGAAUUACUGGUGCUGCUGAUGCUGCAGCCUGGAUUCUCUGGUCUCAGAGACCAAAUGACCCAAAACCUCUGUGAUUCUCCUGCAAAUAAUCCAUCUCCAGGAGUCAGGAGCAGGACUGGUGAGCAUCUCAGCUGUAAUGAUAGAGCUCAAGGAGCGUGUUUCUCCUCACAUCACAAGGACUAAGCCAAGCCCCAAAUCCUUGGGAGCUCUUGAGGAAUGUCCGAGCAUCUGUGAGGAGCAGCUGUGAGGGAGUGUGAGA